This 439-nucleotide ribosomal RNA is filed under the name Nicon maculata. RNAcentral describes it as "partial large subunit ribosomal RNA". It matches the Rfam family "Bacterial large subunit ribosomal RNA", at positions 1897 to 2597 of the family's 2925-position model. The record is from RNAcentral. Lineage: Eukaryota; Metazoa; Annelida; Polychaeta; Phyllodocida; Nereididae.
AACUAUAACAGGUCCUGCCCAGAUAAAUUCAACGCGGUAUCCUGACCGUGCAAAGGUAGCAUAAUCAUUUGCCUUUUAAUUGAAGGCUAGUAUGAAAGGACACACAAGAAUAAAGCUGUCUCACGUGGGCCGCUACAAUCUAAUAUUUAGGUGCAGAAGCCUAAAUCUACAUAAAGGACAAGAAGACCCUAUAGAGCUUUACUGACAAAAGUUAUUACACUUUACCUCAGUUUGGUUGGGAUAACCAAAAGACACUACUACCUCUAUUAACACAACUAAUACCCCCACCCAUUAAUGAAUUAGAAAGCUACCUUAGGGAUAACAGGCUAAUCCUACUAAAGAGAUCACAUUGACAGUAGGGGUUGGCACCUCGAUGGCUUAGUGUAACCCUCAGGCGCAGCCGCUUGAGAGAGUUGGUUUGUUAAACCAUUAAAUCACU